RNAcentral lists this transfer RNA (72 nucleotides) under Ornithorhynchus anatinus (platypus). It matches the Rfam family "tRNA". Rfam says of the family: Transfer RNA (tRNA) molecules are approximately 80 nucleotides in length. Their secondary structure includes four short double-helical elements and three loops (D, anti-codon, and T loops). Further hydrogen bonds mediate the characteristic L-shaped molecular structure. tRNAs have two regions of fundamental functional importance: the anti-codon, which is responsible for specific mRNA codon recognition, and the 3' end, to which the tRNAs corresponding amino acid is attached (by aminoacyl-tRNA synthetases). tRNAs cope with the degeneracy of the genetic code in two manners: having more than one tRNA (with a specific anti-codon) for a particular amino acid; and 'wobble' base-pairing, i.e. permitting non-standard base-pairing at the 3rd anti-codon position. The record is from Rfam by way of RNAcentral. Lineage: Eukaryota; Metazoa; Chordata; Mammalia; Monotremata; Ornithorhynchidae.
AGCAGUGUGGCUUAGUGGAAAGAGCUCGGGCUGAGAAGUCAGAGAUCAUGGGUUCUAAUCCCAACUCCGCCA